ACUUCGUGGUACAUUCCUAGUGACCCUGCUGGGUUGCUGUGCAGCCUCGGGAGUGGUGUUGACGACAUACGAGGAAGACAGCUUAGUGGUUGACAUUGUUAAUGCACCAGCAAACUCAAUUAUGUUUCUGGUACGGCUUCCUUCGGACGCCACCUGUUGUAUGGACACAGAAGCUGCAACUGUAGAACAAGAGCUUGUGAUCCAAAGUGCCAACGUGACGGCGUCUUAUUCACGACAUUUACUAGGGCCGGGCAGAUACUGCGCGCUGGUGGUAUCAAACAGCGGAAAUUUCACUUCGCAGCAGCCACUGGAGCUC
Rhipicephalus microplus (southern cattle tick) is the source of this 316-nucleotide long non-coding RNA. NCBI's taxonomy places the organism in Eukaryota, Metazoa, Arthropoda, Arachnida, Ixodida, Ixodidae. The record is from RefSeq and is a predicted model, not a curated record.